Molecule: RNA transcript, 1900 nt
Organism: Scophthalmus maximus (turbot)
Lineage: Eukaryota; Metazoa; Chordata; Actinopteri; Pleuronectiformes; Scophthalmidae
Gene: h2bk1
Exons: 3
Source: RefSeq, a predicted model, not a curated record
GGCUAGCAAAACAUCAACAUCCGGUUGUUUGGUGCGGCUGAAAAGUGCUUCCGGGUCACAACAAGUAGUAUUUCAACUUUAUUCUCGACAGUUCGACUUCAUUCUCGAAGUAGUUGUUCAACUUUAUUCACGACAUAUCGACUUUAUUGUCGAAAUGUAAAAAAAAAAAAAAUACAAAAACCUUCCCCCUCAUUUCUUUCCUUAUGCCUGGUCCUAAUACCACUGUUCCGUGUUGAUGUUAUAUGAAACACUUUACUGUCCUUCACUGACAAAUGUCAAAAUGGUUGCUGUUGAAAAAAGCCAACGCAAUAACUCACCACCAGCCACCCGGAGAAAAGAAACUCGCUCGGUUGCUGAGCGUUAAUCCUGCUCGCGUUCAUUUCGUUUAAAUCUCCGGAGGUUUGUCCGCAAACACGAGGCAGGUGAAUCGAAUCAGUCACUGAUUGGCGCGGCACCGUUAAACAGGCGCGUGUGAAGCGGGAAAGUGGAAGAGCCAUUCCUCAACGAGCCUAGUUACAGUAUCUCGACACGACCCACGCUAAAUAUUGGUAGGAGGCUUUGCUCGUUUGACAGUCCCCCCCCUCCCCCCCAAAAUGACCAAUGACCUAUCCAAAAAGAAAGGGAAAGGUUCGAGUGAGAAAAAGGUGAAAAGAAAAGCCAAGCGGAGAGAGACGUACGCGAUGUACAUCUAUAAGGUUCUGAAGCAGGUUCACCCGGACACGGGGAUCUCCAGCAGGGCCAUGAGCAUCAUGAACUCCUUCGUGAACGACCUGUUCGAGCGCAUCGCCACGGAGGCGUCGCGCCUGGCCCAGUACAACAAGCGCGCCACCAUCACCAGCAGGGAGGUGCAGACCGCCGUGAGGCUGCUGCUGCCCGGCGAGCUGGCGAAGCACGCCGUGUCCGAGGGCACCAAGGCCGUCACCAAGUACACGAGCUCCAAGUGAAGACCUCCCCCGCACGCACGCGCGCGCGCCUCAGUGCGCGAGCUGGUUGAUUUCAAUAAAGCAGGUACUGGUCACACAAGUUGAAGUCGUCCAAAAUAUACCAAAGAUGAAAAUAUGGCACCCACUUUUGUGUCGCCUUAAGUUGAGUGUGAGAGGCCGGACUCAUUUUUAUGUUUGCCUGUCUCACGUGUACAUUAUCUGCCAGUCCUUCAAAUCCAAAAGCCAAGGCAUCUGCACACACCAGCCCUGACAGGUGUGGAUUCAAACAGGUGUGGUGUGAUGUUGACGGGGUAUUGAUAACCAACCUGAGCUCGAUCUCAUGUUAUCUCUUGAAUGUAAUCCUCCUGGUGUAAUGAUUCACAGACCCAGUGAAGAAAGAAAUACUUAAAUAAUUGUUUAAGUAAAAGUCCAGAUGCUAUUUUUUUUUUUUUUUUUUUUUUUUUUUUUUUUUUUUAUUUACAACCACGUGAGUUUUUGUCAUGCUGAAUGAAUAGACUUAGCGGGAUUUGGAAAUGGAGUGAUGGUUGUAAAACGACUGACAGUUCAUGAAAGUUUUUUGGUUUUUUUAUGCUUUUGAAAAAAAGAAGAUGAAGCUCUAACCAAACAUUUAUCUAAUGUAAAAGACAGUAACUGUGAGAGAGGUACUGCAGGUUGUUUGGUAAACUUAUCAUUAAAUUUAAAAAAACACAGUGGACAGUUGUUUUUUUUAACUAAUCUUUUCGACCUCUGAUGCAUUCAAACUCGACAAGAUCCAUUAUUCAGUUAGCUUUGAAAAUUGAAAGAUUUAUAAACUGUCGGGGGAAAUGAUUCAACAUUGUCUCCUUGUUGUGGAUCUUAAUCAGGUUUUUAAAAGACGACAUUGUCAACUGAAUAGUUCUUGAUUACAGGAUAAUGACACCAGCCCAAUCUGCAUAAAGAAACUGAUAAAGGUCUCUCUAAUGAGGACGGUGUUUACA